GACGAGAGUGGCAAGCGUUAUUCGGAAUUAUUGGGCGUAAAGCGUCCGUAGGGGGAUCUUCACGUCAGUUGUAAAAGCCCAGGGCUCAACCCUGUGGAUGGCAUCUGAUACGGAGGAUCUAGAAGAAGGUAGAGGCACACGGAAUUCCAGGAGUAGGGGUAAAAUCCGUAGAUACCUGGAGGAACACCGAUAGCGAAGGCAGUGUGCUGGGCCUCUCUUGACCCUGAGGGACGAAAGCGUGGGGAGCAAACGGG
This 254-nucleotide ribosomal RNA is filed under the name uncultured bacterium. RNAcentral's name for it is "partial 16S ribosomal RNA". It matches the Rfam family "Bacterial small subunit ribosomal RNA", at positions 524 to 776 of the family's 1533-position model. The record is from RNAcentral.